UUUCCGUAGGUGAACCUGCGGAAGGAUCAUUACUGAGUGAGGGCCCCUCGGGGUCCAACCUCCCACCCGUGUUUAACGAACCUUGUUGCUUCGGCGGGCCCGCCUCACGGCCGCCGGGGGGCAUCUGCCCCCGGGCCCGCGCCCGCCGAAGCCACCUGUGAACGCUGUCUAAAGUAUGCAGUCUGAGACAAUUAUUAAAUUAAUUAAAACUUUCAACAACGGAUCUCUUGGUUCCG
This 236-nucleotide unclassified non-coding RNA is filed under the name plant metagenome. RNAcentral describes it as "partial contains small subunit ribosomal RNA, internal transcribed spacer 1, and 5.8S ribosomal RNA". The record is from RNAcentral.